GAUGAACGCUGGCGGCGUGCCUAAUAAAUGCAAGUCGAGCGAACGGACGAGAAGCUUGCUUCUCUGAUGUUAGCGGCGGACGGGUGAGUAACACGUGGAUAACCUCCCUAUAAGACGGGGAUAACUUCGGGAAACGGGAGCUAAUACCGGAUAAUAUUUUGAACCGCAUGGUUCAAAAGUGAAAGACGGUCUUGCGGUCACUUAUAGAUGGAUCCGCGCUGCAUUAGCUAGUUGGUAAGGUAACGGCUUACGAAGGCAACGAGGCAUAGCCGACCUGAGAGGGUGAUAGGCCACACUGGAACUGAGACACGGUCCAGACUCCUACGGGAGGCAGCAGUAGGGAAUCUUCCGCAAUGGGCGAAAGCCUGACGGAGCAACGCCGCGUGAGUGAUGAAGGUCUUCGGAUCGUAAAACUCUGUUAUUAGGGAAGAACAUAUGUGUAAGUAACUGUGCACAUCUUGACGGUACCUAAUCAGAAAGCCACGGCUAACUACGUG
RNAcentral lists this ribosomal RNA (497 nucleotides) under uncultured bacterium. RNAcentral's name for it is "partial 16S ribosomal RNA". It matches the Rfam family "Bacterial small subunit ribosomal RNA", at positions 28 to 507 of the family's 1533-position model. The record is from RNAcentral.